GUCCUUUUGUUUUUAUUUAAGGUCUGGUCUGCUCACUGAUUUUUUUAAGAGCUGCGGUAUUUUGACCGUACGAAGGUAGCAUAAUAAUUAGUUUUUUUAUUGAGAACUAGUAUGAAUGGCUGGACGAGAAAAAAGCUGUCUCUUUUUAAUUUUUUUUGAAUUUUACUUUUGAGUUAAAAGGCUCAAAUUUUUUUGAAAGACGAGAAGACCCUAUAGAGUUUAAUUGAUUAUUUUUCAUUUUAUUUUGGUAAUUUUAUUUUUGAUAAUUAUUUCAGUUUGGUUGGGGUGACUAUAAAAUUUAUUUAACUUUUAUUUUAUUAAAACAUUUAUUUAUGAUUGUUUGAUCCUUUAUUUGAUUAUAAGAUAAAUUACCUUAGGG
This 379-nucleotide ribosomal RNA is filed under the name Dermestidae sp. VAITC9390. RNAcentral's name for it is "partial large subunit ribosomal RNA". Lineage: Eukaryota; Metazoa; Arthropoda; Insecta; Coleoptera; Dermestidae. The record is from RNAcentral.